RNAcentral lists this ribosomal RNA (253 nucleotides) under uncultured bacterium. RNAcentral's name for it is "partial 16S ribosomal RNA". It matches the Rfam family "Bacterial small subunit ribosomal RNA", at positions 524 to 776 of the family's 1533-position model. The record is from RNAcentral.
UACGUAGGGUGCGAGCGUUGUCCGGAAUUAUUGGGCGUAAAGAGCUCGUAGGCGGCCUGUCGCGUCGGUUGUGAAAGCCCGGGGCUUAACCCCGGGUCUGCAGUCGAUACGGGCAGGCUAGAGUUCGGUAGGGGAGAUCGGAAUUCCUGGUGUAGCGGUGAAAUGCGCAGAUAUCAGGAGGAACACCGGUGGCGAAGGCGGGUCUCUGGGCCGUAACUGACGCUGAGGAGCGAAAGCAUGGGGAGCGAACAGG